Molecule: ribosomal RNA, 468 nt
Filed under: uncultured bacterium
Lineage: Bacteria
Description: partial 16S ribosomal RNA
Rfam family: Bacterial small subunit ribosomal RNA
Source: RNAcentral
GACGAACGCUGGCGGCGUGCUUAACACAUGCAAGUCGAACGGAAAGGCCCUGCUUUUGUGGGGUGCUCGAGUGGCGAACGGGUGAGUAACACGUGAGUAACCUGCCCUUGACUUUGGGAUAACUUCAGGAAACUGGGGCUAAUACCGGAUAGGAGCUCCUGCUGCAUGGUGGGGGUUGGAAAGUUUCGGCGGUUGGGGAUGGACUCGCGGCUUAUCAGCUUGUUGGUGGGGUAGUGGCUUACCAAGGCUUUGACGGGUAGCCGGCCUGAGAGGGUGACCGGCCACAUUGGGACUGAGAUACGGCCCAGACUCCUACGGGAGGCAGCAGUGGCGAAUAUUGCACAAUGGGCGGAAGCCUGAUGCAGCAACGCCGCGUGCGGGAUGACGGCCUUCGGGUUGUAAACCGCUUUCGCCUGUGACGAAGCGUGAGUGACGGUAAUGGGUAAAGAAGCACCGGCUAACCACGUG